AGUAGUUUGAUCAUGGCUACAGAACGAACGCUGGCGGCAGGCUUAACACAUGCAAGUCGAACGCGUGUAGCAAUACACGAGUGGCGCACGGGUGAGUAACGCGUGGAUAUCUGCCUUUUGGUUCGGAAUAACUCCGGGAAACUGGAGCUAAUACCGGAUGGUUCCUACGGGAUAAAGAUUUAUCGCCAAAAGAUGAGUCCGCGUACGAUUAGCUAGUUGGUGAGGUAAUGGCUCACCAAGGCGACGAUCGUUAGCUGGUCUGAGAGGACGAUCAGCCACACUGGGACUGAGACACGGCCCAGACUCCUACGGGAGGCAGCAGUGGGGAAUAUUGGACAAUGGGGGCAACCCUGAUCCAGCCAUGCCGCGUGAGUGACGAAGGCCUUCGGGUUGUAAAGCUCUUUUGGCGGGGACGAUGAUGACGGUACCCGCAGAAUAAGCCCCGGCUAACUUCGUG
This 457-nucleotide ribosomal RNA is filed under the name uncultured bacterium. Its description in RNAcentral is "bacterial SSU rRNA". It matches the Rfam family "Bacterial small subunit ribosomal RNA", at positions 1 to 507 of the family's 1533-position model. The record is from RNAcentral.